CCCAACUAUCCCUAUUAAUCAUUACGUCAAUCCUAGAAACCAACAAAAUAGAACCAUGCCGUCCUAUUUUAUUAUUCCAUGCUAAUGUAUUCAGGCACUGGCCUGCUUUGAGCACUCUAAUUUUUUCAAGGUAAUAGUCCUGCUUCCCCAGCGCACCAAGUAAAUGGCAUGCUGGUUAUUCAGAAGGUAAGAACCCACCACGCCAGUACGGACAAUGAAGCCCGACCAACGGACAGAUUCCGAAAUUCAACUACGAGCUUUUUAACUGCAACAACUUUAAUAUACGCUAUUGGAGCUGGAAUUACCGCGGCUGCUGGCACCAGACUUGCCCUCCAA
RNAcentral lists this unclassified non-coding RNA (336 nucleotides) under uncultured Acaulosporaceae. RNAcentral describes it as "sequence contains 18S rRNA gene". Lineage: Eukaryota; Fungi; Glomeromycota; Glomeromycetes; Diversisporales; Acaulosporaceae. RNAcentral also lists the same sequence under 1 other name. The record is from RNAcentral.